Molecule: long non-coding RNA, 1384 nt
Organism: Anneissia japonica
Lineage: Eukaryota; Metazoa; Echinodermata; Crinoidea; Comatulida; Comatulidae
Exons: 3
Source: RefSeq, a predicted model, not a curated record
AUGAUCACAAUUACUACCAUUAUCUCCACCACCGCAACCACCACCCUGUAAUGUAACUUUCAAAAAAAAAAUUAAUAAAUACCGGUAUACAAAUUACAAAAAUAUAAUACAUUUUUUGUUGAAACCUACGGUAUAUUUUUUCAUUAUGAUGCAGUGGUGUACCGGUAUCUAGGAGUUAUAAAAUAUGGGAGCUGAUUGGGAGAGGAGAAGGUGAAGGUUUAAGGAAGGGGCACUAGAUAAAGUGAUUUUUAACUUAAUUUUGUCAUUUUUUUUUUUGCUUCGGACAUUUUCAAUGGGGAAAAUUCUGUUUUCCAUAUAUAUGCACACAUGUAUAUGUGGUAUAAACCCUUAAACAUUGUUAAUAUAAUAUUUGUGUUGCACACUUUAUGCCCUAAUUGUUACAUGCCAUGAAACAAUAAACAUUAAAUUGGCGACAUGAAUAGGUUUUUCAAAAUUUCAAAAAAUAUUUUGUUACAGAAGAAAUACAGUAAACAAACGAUUAAUAAGGUCCGGUGUACGAUUGUUGAUAAUUUCGAACGACUGUCCAUAACACCUCUCCUUUAAUUUGCGAGAAAUUUUUCAAUGAAUCAAUUUUACCGCCUAGAGUUCUUCCAACCAAUAAAUCGACGGAGUGCAUCUGGGUACAGCAACAUGCGUACGCUGCGACUGAGCUGUACAGUAGCACAGGCUGAAAAAUAAACGUUCUUGCUUUGUCCUUUGUCCCGGGCUGUGUACUGGAAUGUCGUCUUAAAUCGGGAGCUAAAAUUCGUAAUUUUUUAUCAUACUGAUAAAUACAUGGAUAUUUACGCACUUUCAGACGCAUCUUGGAGGGGGAUAUGGAGAUAUGUUCACCGUUAUGGCUUGAUUUGGCAUUUAAACAUGAUCGGAAGUGUUUUGUUUACUAUCGGUCGUCUGGUCUCUCAGAACAAAGGAAUAUCGCAGUCAGUGCUAAUUUUGGGCGGAAACAGACAGACGACCGACGGUUGUCGGACCCAAUACCCUGGAUUUCCGACCACCUUCCAUAAUAUAACUCUGGAUAUUUCUUGCACUUUUGGAUAUACAGUACUGGAUACUUAACUAUGGAGUAGGAUGGGUUGCAAUAAAGGUCAUUGACCUUCGGAAGGUGAAAGAGGAUUACGUCAGAAGGAAUUUGUACCGUGAAGCCAAAGUACUGUCACAACUCAGGCAUCCAAACAUUAUUCGUCUUUACGAAACAAUCAAGUCCACCAAUCUCUACUGCCUGGUCACUGAAUAUGCACCUGGCGGCGACCUGCUUACAUUGGUGCGACGUCAGCGUGGGGGUAGGCUGACGGAGGGAUCUGCAAGGCCGUACGUCCGUCAGUUGGUAUCAGCUCUACAUCACAUGCACGAACGCAAAGUGGUU